Molecule: ribosomal RNA, 1002 nt
Filed under: Microbacterium sp.
Lineage: Bacteria; Bacillati; Actinomycetota; Actinomycetes; Micrococcales; Microbacteriaceae
Description: bacterial SSU rRNA
Rfam family: Bacterial small subunit ribosomal RNA
Source: RNAcentral
AAAAAGCGCCGGCUAACUAUGUCCCAGCAGCCGCGGUAACACGUAGGGCGCAAGCGUUAUCCGGAAUUAUUGGGCGUAAAGAGCUCGUAGGCGGUUUGUCGCGUCUGCUGUGAAAUCCCGAGCCUCAACCUCGGGCAUGCAGUCGGUACGGGCAGACUAGAGUGCGGUAGGGGAGAUUGGAAUUCCUGGUGUGGCGGUGGAAUGCGCAGAUAUCAGGAGGAACACCGAUGGCGAAGGCAGAUCUCUGGGCCGUAACUGACGCUGAGGAGCGAAAGGGUGGGGAGCAAACAGCGCUUAGAUACCCUGGUAGUCCUCCCCGUAAACGUUGGGAAGCUAGUUGUGGGGUCCAUUCCACGGAUUCCGUGACGCAGCUAACGCAUUAAGUUCCCCGCCUGGGGAGUACGGCCGCAAGGCUACAACUCAAAGGAAUUGACGGGGACCCGCACAAGCGGCGGAGCAUGCGGAUUAAUUCGAUGCAACGCGAAGAACCUUACCAAGGCUUGACAUAUACGAGAACGGGCCAGAAAUGGUCAACUCUUUGGACACUCGUAAACAGGUGGUGCAUGGUUGUCGUCAGCUCGUGUCGUGAGAUGUUGGGUUAAGUCCCGCAACGAGCGCAACCCUCGUUCUAUGUUGCCAGCACGUAAUGGUGGGAACUCAUGGGAUACUGCCGGGGUCAACUCGGAGGAAGGUGGGGAUGACGUCAAAUCAUCAUGCCCCUUAUGUCUUGGGCUUCACGCAUGCUACAAUGGCCGGUACAAAGGGCUGCAAUACCGUGAGGUGGAGCGAAUCCCAAAAAGCCGGUCCCAGUUCGGAUUGAGGUCUGCAACUCGACCUCAUGAAGUCGGAGUCGCUAGUAAUUGCAGAUCAGCAACGAUGCGGUGAAUACGUUCCCGGGUCUUGUACACACCGCCCGUCACGUCAUGAAAGUCGGUAACACCUGAAGCCGGUGGCCUAACCCUUGUGGAGGGAGCCGUCGAAGGUGGGAUCGGUAAUUAGGAC